Molecule: ribosomal RNA, 454 nt
Filed under: uncultured Prevotella sp.
Lineage: Bacteria; Pseudomonadati; Bacteroidota; Bacteroidia; Bacteroidales; Prevotellaceae
Description: partial 16S ribosomal RNA
Rfam family: Bacterial small subunit ribosomal RNA
Source: RNAcentral
ACGGGAGGCAGCAGUGAGGAAUAUUGGUCAAUGGGCGGAAGCUUGAACCAGCCAAGUAGCGUGAAGGAUGACGGCCCUACGGGUUGUAAACUUCUUUUGCCGGGGGAUAAAAAACGGGACGCGUCCCGUCUUGCAGGUACCCGUGCGAAUAAGGACCGGCUAAUUCCGUGCCAGCAGCCGCGGUAAUACGGAAGGUCCGAGCGUUAUCCGGAUUUAUUGGGUUUAAAGGGAGCGUAGGCGGAGAUGUAAGCCAGCCGUCAAAUCGUGGUGCUCAACGCCAUCCAGCGGUUGGAACUGCAUCCCUUGAGUGCACUAGAGGAAGGCGGAAUUCGUCGUGUAGCGGUGAAAUGCUUAGAUAUGACGAAGAACUCCGAUUGCGAAGGCAGCUGACUGUAGCGUAACUGACGCUGAUGCUCGAAAGUGCGGGUAUCGAACAGGAUUAGAUACCCUGGUA